RNAcentral lists this ribosomal RNA (780 nucleotides) under uncultured cyanobacterium. RNAcentral's name for it is "bacterial SSU rRNA". It matches the Rfam family "Bacterial small subunit ribosomal RNA", at positions 37 to 859 of the family's 1533-position model. The record is from RNAcentral. Lineage: Bacteria; Bacillati; Cyanobacteriota.
UGGCGGCGUGCCUAACACAUGCAAGUCGAACGGGAAUCUUAGGAUUCUAGUGGCGGACGGGUGAGUAACGCGUAAGAAUCUAACUUCAGGACGGGGACAACAGUUGGAAACGACUGCUAAUACCCGAUGUGCCGCAAGGUGAAACCUAAUUGGCCUGGAGAAGAGCUUGCGUCUGAUUAGCUAGUUGGUGGGGUAAAGGCCUACCAAGGCGACGAUCAGUAGCUGGUCUGAGAGGAUGAGCAGCCACACUGGGACUGAGACACGGCCCAGACUCCUACGGGAGGCAGCAGUGGGGAAUUUUCCGCAAUGGGCGAAAGCCUGACGGAGCAACGCCGCGUGGGGGAGGAAGGUCUUUGGAUUGUAAACCUCUUUUCUCAAGGAAGAAGUUCUGACGGUACUUGAGGAAUCAGCCUCGGCUAACUCCGUGCCAGCAGCCGCGGUAAUACGGGGGAGGCAAGCGUUAUCCGGAAUUAUUGGGCGUAAAGCGUCCGCAGGUGGUCAGCCAAGUCUGCCGUCAAAUCAGGUUGCUUAACGACCUAAAGGCGGUGGAAACUGGCAGACUAGAGAGCAGUAGGGGUAGCAGGAAUUCCCAGUGUAGCGGUGAAAUGCGUAGAGAUUGGGAAGAACAUCGGUGGCGAAAGCGUGCUACUGGGCUGUAUCUGACACUCAGGGACGAAAGCUAGGGGAGCGAAAGGGAUUAGAUACCCCUGUAGUCCUAGCCGUAAACGAUGGAUACUAGGCGUGGCUUGUAUCGACCCGAGCCGUGCCGAAGCUAACGCG